This 429-nucleotide ribosomal RNA is filed under the name Chloroflexota bacterium. RNAcentral's name for it is "Chloroflexi bacterium partial 16S ribosomal RNA". It matches the Rfam family "Bacterial small subunit ribosomal RNA", at positions 355 to 776 of the family's 1533-position model. Lineage: Bacteria; Bacillati; Chloroflexota. The record is from RNAcentral.
UAGGGAAUCUUCGGCAAUGGACGAAAGUCUGACCGAGCAACGCCGCGUUAGUGAAGAAGGUUUUCGGAUCGUAAAACUCUGUUGUUAGAGAAGAACAAGGACGUUAGUAACUGAACGUCCCCUGACGGUAUCUAACCAGAAAGCCACGGCUAACUACGUGCCAGCAGCCUCGGUAAUACGUAGGUGGCAAGCGUUGUCCGGAUUUAUUGGGCGUAAAGCGAGCGCAGGCGGUUUCUUAAGUCUGAUGUGAAAGCCCCCGGCUCAACCGGGGAGGGUCAUUGAAAACUGGGGGACUUGAGUGCAGAAGAGGAGGGUGGAAUUCGAUGUGUAGCGGUGAAAUGCGUAGAUAUAUGGAGGAAAACCAGUGGCGAAGGCGGCUCUCUGGACUGUAACUGACGCUGAGGCUGGAAAGCGUGGGGAGCAAACAGG